Molecule: long non-coding RNA, 831 nt
Organism: Bombus terrestris (buff-tailed bumblebee)
Lineage: Eukaryota; Metazoa; Arthropoda; Insecta; Hymenoptera; Apidae
Exons: 3
Source: RefSeq, a predicted model, not a curated record
CGUACCCAAGACUAGUCUCGUGGUCGAAUGCUCGCAGUUUUUAUAUGUUGAGUUUGUAGGAGUUGAGGGGCAAGGAGAGUAUCCUGGCUGCCCUAUGUAAUGGGGAACACUUGGUGUUGAACCAUGUGCAAAGGAUACAGUAGAUACGAUGGAAAUCUAAUAAACAAAGCGGAAAAAAGCAAUAUGACCGUUUUCGCUAUCAACGGAAUUUCAUUGCUAAAUUAAGGAUCUCUUAAUUAGAGAAGAAUGGAAGGCAACGGAGCAUAAAGCUGUCGAGCAAGCACAAUUUCUCUAGGCGAUAUUAAAACGACGCCUAAUAUCCUGGACGGCUUGAUAUUAAGAGGAUGACGAAGGUGAAUCCCAAAGGAAAGCUGAAAUGGGGUGAAGAAAGGGAUCGUAAGCCGCUUACGGUUUCACGAUGUCACGAAACGAACGAGCCACCAACUGCUUGUCGUUUUAGCAGCACGCAUAAACCGCACUCUACGUAGCUAGGAUUUACAGAUCUAGAAGAUUCUUGAAAUUAGACCAAAUCGCGUAUACGCCUUCCAUGAUGCACGGAUUAACUUGUUUUCCUACAAACAUAAAUUUCCUCCAAAUUGCCAAAGUUGUCAACUAAAUGAUUACGGAUUUUGUCAAUGCCACCUAUUGACAAAAUCCGCAAUUACUUAGUUGUUAGCCCAAUAUAUGCAUAUUACUCUGUUGCUUAAACAAUUAUCAGUUUCACUGUAAUUUCAGUAUGGUAUAUGGUUAACUGAAUUACAAUUCAAUUGAUCUAAUUAAAACACUAAAAUGGCUUGAUUAUAUAAAAUAAAUGCGAUAUUUUUUGCAAAA